This 572-nucleotide ribosomal RNA is filed under the name Vibrio cholerae. Its description in RNAcentral is "partial 23S ribosomal RNA". It matches the Rfam family "Bacterial large subunit ribosomal RNA", at positions 439 to 1013 of the family's 2925-position model. The record is from RNAcentral. Lineage: Bacteria; Pseudomonadati; Pseudomonadota; Gammaproteobacteria; Vibrionales; Vibrionaceae.
UGAAUAUGGGGGGACCAUCCUCCAAGGCUAAAUACUCCUGACUGACCGAUAGUGAACCAGUACCGUGAGGGAAAGGCGAAAAGAACCCCUGUGAGGGGAGUGAAAUAGAACCUGAAACCGUGUACGUACAAGCAGUAGGAGCACCUUCGUGGUGUGACUGCGUACCUUUUGUAUAAUGGGUCAGCGACUUAUAUUCAGUGGCAAGGUUAACCGUAUAGGGGAGCCGUAGCGAAAGCGAGUCUUAACUGGGCGCUCAGUCUCUGGAUAUAGACCCGAAACCGGGUGAUCUAGCCAUGGGCAGGUUGAAGGUUGAGUAACAUCAACUGGAGGACCGAACCGACUAAUGUUGAAAAAUUAGCGGAUGACUUGUGGCUAGGGGUGAAAGGCCAAUCAAACUCGGAGAUAGCUGGUUCUCCCCGAAAGCUAUUUAGGUAGCGCCUCGGACGAAUACUACUGGGGGUAGAGCACUGUUAAGGCUAGGGGGUCAUCCCGACUUACCAACCCUUUGCAAACUCCGAAUACCAGUAAGUACUAUCCGGGAGACACACGGCGGGUGCUAACGUCCGUCGUGG